GUGAGGAAUAUUGGUCAAUGGGCGCAAGCCUGAACCAGCCAUCCCGCGUGCAGGAAGACGGCGCUAUGCGUUGUAAACUGCUUUUCCAGGGAGAGAAACUUGCGCACGUGUUGCGCAAUUGACGGUACCCUGGGAAUAAGCAUCGGCUAACUCCGUGCCAGCAGCCGCGGUAAUACGGAGGAUGCGAGCGUUAUCCGGAUUCAUUGGGUUUAAAGGGUGCGUAGGCGGACUAUUAAGUCAGUGGUGAAAUCCUGCAGCUUAACUGCAGAACUGCCAUUGAUACUGAUAGCCUUGAGUUUGGUUAAGGUAGGCGGAAUGUGUAAUGUAGCGGUGAAAUGCUUAGAUAUUACACAGAACACCAAUUGCGUAGGCAGCUUACUGAGCCGACACUGACGCUGAGGCACGAAAGCGUGGGGAUCGAACAGGAUUAGAAACCCGUGUAGUCC
Molecule: ribosomal RNA, 446 nt
Filed under: uncultured bacterium
Lineage: Bacteria
Description: partial 16S ribosomal RNA
Rfam family: Bacterial small subunit ribosomal RNA
Source: RNAcentral